Molecule: ribosomal RNA, 478 nt
Filed under: uncultured bacterium
Lineage: Bacteria
Description: partial 16S ribosomal RNA
Rfam family: Bacterial small subunit ribosomal RNA
Source: RNAcentral
GACGAACGCUGGCGGCGUGCUUAACACAUGCAAGUCGAACGGUAAGGCCCUUCGGGGUACACGAGUGGCGAACGGGUGAGUAACACGUGGGUGAUCUGCCCUGCACUUCGGGAUAAGCCUGGGAAACUGGGUCUAAUACCGGAUAGGACCCUGGGAUGCAUGUCCUGGGGUGGAAAGCUUUUGCGGUGUGGGAUGGGCCCGCGGCCUAUCAGCUUGGUGGUGGGGUGAUGGCCUACCAAGGCGACGACGGGUAGCCGGCCUGAGAGGGUGACCGGCCACACUGGGACUGAGAUACGGCCCAGACUCCUACGGGAGGCAGCAGUGGGGAAUAUUGCACAAUGGGCGCAAGCCUGAUGCAGCGACGCCGCGUGAGGGAUGACGGCCUUCGGGUUGUAAACCUCUCUCAGCACCGACGAAGCGCAAGUGACGGUAGGUGCAGAAGAAGGACCGGCCAACUACGUGCCAGCCGCCGCUGUAA